UGGUUCUGGCAUCGAUGAAGAACGCAGCGAAAUGCGAUAAGUAAUGUGAAUUGCAGAAUUCAGUGAAUCAUCGAAUCUUUGAACGCACAUUGCGCCCUUUGGUAUUCCGAAGGGCAUGCCCGUUCGAGCGUCAUUUCACCAAUCAAGCCUGGCUUGGUGUUGGGCCGCGGGGAGACCCGGGCCCCAAAGUUCGCCGGCCGGCCGUUCCGGAUCUCAGCGUCGUGGCAUCAAAACCCGCGGAGAGAUGGGGCGGACGCGCCGUGACAAACCCCCUUCACAUGAAAGGUUGACCUCGGAUCGGGUAGGGAUACCCGCUGA
This 318-nucleotide unclassified non-coding RNA is filed under the name uncultured fungus. RNAcentral describes it as "partial contains 5.8S ribosomal RNA and internal transcribed spacer 2". The stretch from base 1 to 133 matches the Rfam family "5.8S ribosomal RNA", at positions 22 to 154 of the family's 154-position model. The record is from RNAcentral. Lineage: Eukaryota; Fungi.